Molecule: non-coding RNA, 270 nt
Organism: Pelobates cultripes (western spadefoot toad)
Lineage: Eukaryota; Metazoa; Chordata; Amphibia; Anura; Pelobatidae
Source: the annotation of a GenBank genome assembly
GUGAGGUGGCAGUGGUGAGGUUGGGGAGGGGGUUACCACUGGUGACUCUUCAUUAUCCCUGGGAGUGCCUUGUCCACCAGAAUUUUUGCUUUAUCCCGAAUCAUGCAGCACAGCUGUGUGACCUUCCCCAGCCAGUUCUCCAAACUGAAGAAUGGAUUAAUGUAAUCUCUACAAAAUGCCUCUGGAUCUGUAUUAUCACCAAACCAAAGUUGCCAGGCAGAAGAUCCCACAGUGAGGCAGAGACCUGUAAAACAUAGCCAAUGACCCCCC